This 254-nucleotide ribosomal RNA is filed under the name uncultured bacterium. RNAcentral describes it as "partial 16S ribosomal RNA". It matches the Rfam family "Bacterial small subunit ribosomal RNA", at positions 524 to 776 of the family's 1533-position model. The record is from RNAcentral.
UACGUAGGGGGCAAGCGUUGUCCGGAAUCAUUGGGCGUAAAGAGCGUGUAGGCGGCCAGAUAAGUCCGCUGUGAAAUCUCGAGGCUCAACUUCGAGCUGUCGGUGGAAACUGUCUGGCUAGAGUCCGGAAGAGGAGAAUGGAAUUCCUGGUGUAGCGGUGAAAUGCGCAGAUAUCAGGAAGAACACCCGUGGCGAAGGCGGCUCUCUGGGACGGUACUGACGCUGAGACGCGAAAGCCGUGGGGAGCGAACAGG